Molecule: ribosomal RNA, 253 nt
Filed under: uncultured bacterium
Lineage: Bacteria
Description: partial 16S ribosomal RNA
Rfam family: Bacterial small subunit ribosomal RNA
Source: RNAcentral
UACGUAGGUGGCAAGCGUUAUCCGGAAUUAUUGGGCGUAAAGCGCGCGCAGGCGGUUUCUUAAGUCUGAUGUGAAAGCCCACGGCUCAACCGUGGAGGGUCAUUGGAAACUGGGGAACCUGAGUGCAGAAGAGAAAAGCGGAAUUCCACGUGUAGCGGUGAAAUGCGUAGAGAUGUGGAGGAACACCAGUGGCGAAGGCGGCUUUUUGGUCUGUAACUGACGCUGAGGCGCGAAAGCGUGGGGAGCAAACAGG